ACUUACUGUAAGUUUGAGAUGUUCGGGUAGGAGAUCCUUCAGCUGGGCGAUGCACUCGUUAAUCCGGUCACGUCUCUUUUUCUCGAUGAGCCGGUGCGGCAAUUUGUAGGUCUCCUGCAAGACGCACGGGGAGGCGGUGGGCGCUUGGGGAAGGAGAUGAGAAGCCUAUCCUCCCAGCCCCGCAGCAACAGUCCGGCAGAGGAGCAGAGUAGCAGAGUAGCACCCAGAACCAUCGUCUGCCCUUUCUUUUCCAAGUCACUCAGAAGAGGCACCGAGCCCACACCCUGCAUCCCCUCGCCAACCUCAAAGCGAGAAAACUUUUCUUGGAAACUCAGCGCGCGCGAGGGGCUGAGCGCAGGGUCCCUAGGGGUGCACUUGCUUACCUUGCUGUCCUCGCUCCGCUUUAUUCCCCGUCUUGACUUGUACACUUGGUACAUGUGGGCAGGGUACAUCCUGCAGGAAGAGAGACCAGGAAGGGUCGUGACUGCUUGCGCACGGCUGCAGGCGUUCUGCCGGGCAAGAACCUCCCGGUGCGCCCGGAGCUGCUCCAAGUUGAGAGUGGCGCAUAACAUGGGGCUGCAGUUGAGGCUUGAAGGGCCAAGGAGUGCCAACUUACCCUGAUUUACCACUUACCGCUGCUUUUCAGCAGUUUGGCUGUGAUUUGUUUAGGUGCUGCUUUUUCCUUAUUUAUUCUCCUUGUGGGUGCGUUAAGGUUCUUGGUUCUCCUCCCACCCCCAACUCUCCCCUGACACACAACGUGGAUGUGGAACUUCUUGAUUCUAUGAGUUGAGAUCUUCAAUCAAUUUUGGGUUGCAGAAAAGGAAGAAGAAUCAGCAGAGAGCAUUUGUGGCCAGCAAAGCUUAAAAUAUUUCCUAACCGAUCCUUUGCAAAAAAAGUUCACCCACUCCUGUAGUCAGCAGCUCCCCUACUGUGCGCAGUCAGUGUGCCAUCUCAGACUAGCAAAGAUUUGUGCUUGGAUCAUCUACACUUCCCUGAAUGUUGAAGAAGAUAUGCUAUCCAUGCAAUCCUUGUCGACUGCUUGAUUAAAAAGUGGAUAAACUGUCUUCAGGCCCUUGGAGUAUGGUGUCUGUGUGAAGAAGGGAAUGAGGCAGAAGUAGCAGUCAGUGGUGGCUGAAGUAGGAGAAAGUGCUUGCUAAUGAAAUCUUGAUUUUUCUGUGGCUUUUCUGUGCAAUUGGGUGGCUAAGUAGGAAAGCCAUUGGAGCUUCACUGUAUCAAUUCUGCCUUUCUUGUUUUUUGGAACUCCAAUUCACCAAGGCUCCCUGCCACCCUAUCCAUCUAUAACUUUUCAUCACUUUUUCCUCAAAGUAAGAAGUGUGUCCCAGAAAAUGUGCCUUUGUGACUCAGCAACAUUUCAAAUCCAUCUGAGCCUUCCCAGCGUUCCAAAAGAAAUACUGAUUUGAAUUCAGCUGCUUAAAAAACCAGUCUCUAAGCAGACAGCUUGAAACUUCCUUACAGCAAUAGUUUAGGCUUUGGAGGGGAAAUUGGUUUGUUUUUAAUUGUUUUAAUUUUUCAUUCAAUUCAUUUGCCGCCUGAUUAUAUAUGAUCUUUUGAGCCCAAUACUCUGCUAAAUUAACCUUGACUUUCUUUCUCUCUUUCUCUCUCUCUCCUUCUCUCUUUCUUCCUUUCUUUCUUUCUUUUUGACAGAGCCUUGCUCUGUCGCCCAGGCUGGAAUGCAGUGGCACAAUCUCAGCUCACUGUAAACUCCGCCUCCAAAGUUCAAGCAAUUCUCCUGCCUCAGCCUCCUGUGUAGCUGGGAUUACACACGCCAGCCACCAUGCCUGGCUAAUUUUUGUAUUUUUAGUAAAGAUGGAGUUUCACCCUCUUGGCCAAGCUGGUCUCGAACUCCUGACCUCAACCUUGGCCUCUCAAAGUGCUGGGAUUACAAGCAUGAGCCACCAUGCCUGGCCUUACCUUGAUUUUUUUUUUUUGAGACAGAGUCUCACUCUGUUGCUCAGGCUGGAGUGUAGUGGCUCGAUCUUGGCUCACUGCAACCUCCAUCUCCCGGGUUCAAGAGAUUCUCCUGCCUCAGCCUCCCAAGUAGCUGGGACUACAGGUGUGGGCCACCACGCCUAGCUAAUUUUUUAUAUGUUUACUAGAGACAGGGUUUCACCAUGUUGGGCAGGCUGGUCUUGAACUCCUGACCUCAGGUGAUUCACCUGCCUCGGCCUCCCAAAAUGCUGGGAUUACAGGUGUGAGCCACCACACCCGGCCCCUACCUUUGAUUUUUAAGUCAAGAGGGAACAAGUCGAAAUUUCUAUUCAGGUAAACUGUAUACCUUUGGACACUGAAUCACUUUUAGAACCCCAGUAAAAAUCAUGUAUGAAUGACCCACAAUUUCACUCCAACAGGAAGGUGUGUAUAUGUGCACAAAAACAUUAGAUUGUUCACACCGGUGCUAUUCAUAAUAGUCAAAAACUGGAAACAACUCAAACAUCCAUCAACUGUAGAAUGGAUAAAUAAAUCAUGAUAUAUUCAUACCAUGGAACAUAACAGUGACAAUAAAUGAACCACUGCUACACACAACAGAUAUGAAUUUCACAAACAGAAUGCUGAGCAACAGAAGCCAAACACAGAAGGAUACACAUUUAUAAAUCCAUUUGUAUGAAGUUCAUAAACAGACAAAAUUAGUCAGUGGAGAUUAUUCUCAUAGAAGUCUGAAGGGUAGUUGUCUUUAG
Homo sapiens (human) is the source of this 2696-nucleotide long non-coding RNA. Ensembl annotates it as BHLHE40 antisense RNA 1. Its record names the gene BHLHE40-AS1. NCBI's taxonomy places the organism in Eukaryota, Metazoa, Chordata, Mammalia, Primates, Hominidae. The record is from Ensembl.